Molecule: long non-coding RNA, 1249 nt
Filed under: Rhinopithecus bieti (black snub-nosed monkey)
Lineage: Eukaryota; Metazoa; Chordata; Mammalia; Primates; Cercopithecidae
Description: lncRNA (ENSRBIG00000045274.1)
Source: RNAcentral
GAGAAACACAAAUUCAAACACCAGAAAGACAGGGCCAUUUCUGGUUUCUGGUAUUGUUACAGAGGAAAAAAGUGACAGGGCCCACUGUGGGGGUUGAGGGGGAGAUACAAGGCAGGCUGGCGCCUGCCGCACUGCUUGUGGGAGUGGAAAUUGGGGGCCAGAGCGCACUGGUGACGUGGCUGUCACGUGACCAAGAGCCGCCUAGAGCACAAGUCCUGCUAGUCGCCUCCGUCUGGGUACCAGCCCCCUAUUACUCUGCAGGCGCGUGAAGAAAGAAGGAAACUAGCUCGGACUGUGCAGGUCGGUGCGAGGGUGGGCGCUGCUUCAGAGGAGGUAUGGGUGGAAGAGGGCCAAGAACGCCACAGAUCCGAGUUCAGGCCGAUCACAGCUGGGUCCUUUCUCGCCUACUUUCUAAAUACUGCCACCAACCCCCACCCCACCCCGUGCUCAUUUUAGUAGAGAGAAGUGGCGGGUUUCGGGUGGGGGUGAGGGGAGUGAAUGGCGUUUCCAGAGACUCCGAGAAAAGAAAGGUUCCAGUGUCCCGGGUGCUGGUCCGUCCACCAAGCACUCCGUCCCCUCGGUCCCUUGUCUGUUUGCAGGUUUGUAGGUCUGUUGGCCUGUAGGUUUCGGCACAAGUCUCAGCGAGAGAAGGAGAAAACUGCCUUGGUUGGAACCUUGCAGGCUCUAUCCUCUAUCACUGUGGAGGGACCACUGACAACAGAAGACAAGGGAAAACCAAGGAAUUUACCUGACUUUGGUAGAGAUUCAUCACAAGAGAGCUACAAGAGCCUAGAAGAAGCUAAAGACUGCUACCCUCCAUCCUUACUCACCCUGGACCUGAGAGACCUCUUCAAUCAGGUGGAGCAAGGCCCUCUCCUGUCCUGCCCCAAGGCUGGCACGGACUUGAGCAUGGGCCGGGCUCGGGAAGUGGGUUGGAUGGCGGCAGGACUGAUGAUUGGGGCUGGUGCCUGCUACUGCGUUUAUAAACUGACCAUAGGAAGAGAUGACAGUGAGAAGCUGGAGGAGGAGGAGGAAGAGGAGUGGGACGAUGACCAGGAGCUGGAAGAGGAGGAGCCUGAUAUUUGGUUUGAUUUUGAAACUAUGGCUCGGCCCUGGAGUGAGGAUGGGGAUUGGACUGAACCUGGGGCCCCAGGUGGCACUGAGGACAGGCCCUCAGGGGGAGGCAAGGCCAACCGAGCACACCCAAUAAAACAGCGGCCAUUCCCCUAUGAACAUAAAAUACUUGGAG